This is a small nucleolar RNA of Zingiber officinale, 128 nucleotides long. Lineage: Eukaryota; Viridiplantae; Streptophyta; Magnoliopsida; Zingiberales; Zingiberaceae. The record is from RefSeq and is a predicted model, not a curated record.
AUCCCAGAUAAGCUCACAUUUAGCUACUUGUCUGAUUCAUAGGAGGCCGAUACCAAAAGUUGGCAGUUUCGCUGAUAGCACCUUCCCAUUCCCAUGAAGGUGUUUCAUUAGUAACGUGCCAUACACGA